This 713-nucleotide long non-coding RNA is filed under the name Danio rerio (zebrafish). Its description in RNAcentral is "si:ch211-288b20.2 (ENSDARG00000097221.2)". Lineage: Eukaryota; Metazoa; Chordata; Actinopteri; Cypriniformes; Danionidae. The record is from RNAcentral.
CUGACUCCCUAUUGUUUGUUGUGUGCAAUUAGGAUCAAUUCCCUCUUCGUUUCUUAGCUAAAGUGCAUGUUUUCUUUGGCUUGGCUGAGGAUGUGUUAAACGGAUGAGAGGAGAGUCUGCCGACGCACACGAUGAGCUGACUGGACAAACUUAUUGCGAUGGGAAAGCCCUCCACACAGAGAACACAAGGCACCCAGAAGCAGCCAGGGAAAAGCUGCCAGCAAGCUUGUGUUGGUCGUACCCUAAGGCUUGUGCACCCCAGAGCCCCAAAUCUCUGAAGAUCCACUAGCCCCCAUCGAUCCCUUUUACAGCUCCUGAAUAAUAAAUUCCAGCCCCCCUCGGUCCCGCACAAAAGCCCGACAGGGCCUGGGGUUGGGCUUAAACCCCACUAAUUACAUCAGCACUGAAAGGAAAUCAUUGAUCAACGGCAUUGUGAGACACUCAACUGCCAACCAGAACUGAAUCAAUGAAAUCAAUGAGCAGCUUCUCAAGACGUCUGACCAUCUGGGUUUCAAAUCAUGUUUUUACACUAACAAUAUGAAGCAGAAUAAAUAAGACAUUUGGGGAACGCUUUAGUUUAAGUAACAAUCCCCACCAUUACCUACUUAUAAAGAAUGAAUGACUUAUUUUACAUCCCUAAUACAACCUGAUACCUAACCUACUACUGUACUAACCCCAACUACUACCACACUGACUAAUAAUAAGCAGCUAUU